RNAcentral lists this unclassified non-coding RNA (392 nucleotides) under soil metagenome. RNAcentral's name for it is "partial contains 5.8S ribosomal RNA, internal transcribed spacer 2, and large subunit ribosomal RNA". The stretch from base 1 to 122 matches the Rfam family "5.8S ribosomal RNA", at positions 35 to 154 of the family's 154-position model. The record is from RNAcentral.
GAUGAAGAACGUAGCGAAAUGCGAUACUUGGUGUGAAUUGCAGAAUCUCGUGAACCAUCGAGUCUUUGAACGCAAGUUGCGCCCGAAGCCAUCAGGUUGAGGGCACGUCUGCCUGGGCGUCACAUAUCGUUGCUCGAUGCCUAUCGCAUUGCGAUAGGACUUAGGGCGAAUGAUGGCUUCCCGUGAGCGUUGUUGCCUCGCGGUUGGUUGAAAAUCGAGUCCUUGGUAGGGUGUGCCAUGAUAGAUGGUGGUCGAGUUAGCACGAGUCCGAUCAUGUGCAUGCUCCCCAAAAUAUGGCCUCUGUGACCCACACGCGUCUUUUGACGCUCAUGACGAGACCUCAGGUCAGGCGGGGCUACCCGCUGAAUUUAAGCAUAUCAAUAAGCGGAGGA